GGGUUUGGUGGUUUUGUUUUUGGUUUUUGUGUUUUUUUUAAUUUUUUUUUUAAUUUUUUUGCCAUCCCUCCCACACACCCUGGAAGUCCCAUAAUUAGCCCAACAGCCUUCUUCUGCUGAUGGAUUUCCUAAAUCACUCCCAGAAAGAACUUGGGUGGUAUGUGCGUCUCUUCUAAAUAAGGGUCUUGCUUUCCCCCGCUCCCCCAGAAUGUUCGUUUCCCACGAAAUCCCAGAAACAUAGACUCCUGAAAUAUUACAAGACAUUGGUUUCUAGGCGAUUGCAACUACACUGAGUUCGGAAGCUGAGGUUUCUGCAGAGGUGAACAUGAGCUAAAUGUAAGCACAAGUGCCACGGUUGUAAGCGUUUUUGUGCCUGGGAUAGAAAAGACUUCCAGUCCUCUGCAGCUGAAGAGGGUGGUGACCCACUGCGGCAUAAGGCUGUUUUUCAUUCUUUAAAUAUUUUUUUUAUCAACUAAGCUACUCUUGACCAAUUCGGUUAUGCAAGAAGUCAACAAAUACUCAGCAAGUUCCCAUUCUGUAUGUCCUUUGUGGGGGCAGCUACUCUGCCCUCUCUAGGACUGAGAGUUUAGCAGGGGGAUGGACCUUGACCUAUAAGCCCCAGUGCUUAAAGGAUCCUGCCCACCGAGAGAGGCCAUGAGAAUCAUGAGGUGCUGAACAUGCAGAUGACCUCAGCUGGGACCGGUGGUCAAAGGGGGCUUUUUUGGAGGCCUGGUUUCCCAGGAAUCCCAGCCAGCACUUGGAAGAUCGGGAUGUUCCUAAGUUCACAGCUUGGGCCGACUCCCCUUUCCCUAGCAGAGGCAGAACACUGUUCCCUCAGGGUGGAACCUACUUCCCCUUUCUCUUCAAAGUCUGUUUCUGUAUCUAAAAAUGGACUGGAGCCCCAUCUGUUUGCUGAUUUUUUUUUUUUUUUGAAAACCCUUGAAAUGUUUGUUAUUUUUAAUACCGCUCCAUGUGACUCUCCUCAUCUUCGAGAGGAUGCUUCUCCUAUUCAGGUGGCUUAGCGAGCACCCCGGGGAUCUGUAGACCUUCCCCCCGAAAAUGGAAGUAAAGCGUCCGCGAGCAGCCUUCUGAAGGAGGCAUACUCCGAGCCACUGGGCUGGCUUUUUUUCAUAGGUAGCCCAUUUCCCUGUUGCCUGAAUUCAGUUCAGGUGAAGACAGAGUGCUUCAUUCACACCGAAGGGACCGUGAGCCCCGCUAGCUUAGGCGGGUGUCUGUCUGUACGUAAGCAAUGCCAGUGGUGUGCUCUCUGGGUCAUGGUUUCCUUCGAACAAAUCCAGCCGAUUGUCAGCUGCCUGCGGUUUUCUUUGUGCCACACCACACUUCAGGUGCCUUUGGGCAAUGCUGAGUUGACGGUCGGAGGACAGAAAGGUCGCCCAGGACCGUACCCCGACGUUCCAACCAGUUUAGCCUUAUGGCCCCAGUUCAGCCAAUGUCUUCCACGCCGGCGUGUUAUUUCCUCGUGGCGUCUCUUCUGGGUCUAGCCCCUCAGCUAGUCUCCCUGCAUCGGUCCCUGGACCCUUCUCCCUGACUCUGUUUCCACUGCACCGAGGGAUUAGAACUCUCAGUCCCACUCCAUGCUUCCUGCUUAUCAUCACUGAGAAGCUUUCCAGUGCUUUUUCAGGAUAAAAUCCAGGAUUCGGAGUAGACUACCAGGCCAUGUGUCCUCUGAUCCUUCCUGUUCUCCGACGUCUCCAGGAGGCACGAGUGUGCCCUCCUCCCUCCUUUCUGCCCGAGACCUUUCCCGAGCUACGCCGCUGACCUUGCACGCCCUUCUGCCCCUGCUCGCCUGGUUGUCUGCUCCUAUGCCCUUCACUUCCCGUUAGAACAUUAUUUAUCUCUGAAGACUUUCCUUUGGACCCCAGAUCAUCUCUGGUCCCGUUCUGACUUACUUUCAUAUCACUCACAUAUUUUCUUCAUCACAUCGGUCCUAGGAGUCAUGUGAUGAGUAUUAAAACCGUGUCACUCCUGCGAGUCUGUCCCAUCAGCUCGAAAGCUCAAGGAGGCCCGUUGUUAUUUAUCCUGCCUCGGAUUUACCUGCGAUCCCUCACACUUAGCACAUAGAACUCUUCAGUAUUUUUCAGCUGUGGAUUUUAAAUACGUAUUUCUGCUUUUUCUCUCAUAGAUUUGCCUAUAACUUUUUUGGGGGGUAAUGUAACAGAAUGGCAUGGCUAUGAGCAGUUCCUGAAUUCCUGUCUGAGAGCUUGUCAUUUUCUCAUUUCGGGGAAACCUACAAAGUUGCAUUUGCUGACUGUGCCAGCAGUUCUCCACCCCCGUUGCCUUUGGGGGCUCACCUCCUGUUCAGGGGCCCUCUCCUAGGGUGGUUCCGCACACUCAGUCUCAGACCUCACGAAAUUUCCACUGGUCGUUCGGAACUUUGUUGGGCAGACGGCUGAGCUCAGAGAAGGUUGGUGACUGCCCCGUUGCUGCAAGUGGUGGGUAAGGAUAGAAAAUCAAGGCGUUCUGGUUUGGGGCUUGAGCUGCCCUUCCUGACGUGUUCUGUGCUGGCCUCUUGAACUUGGUAACGACAAUACGCCCAUCCCGGACAAACGGUGCUGAUGCGGGGCUCCCAGGUAACGAGGGAGCAGCAACUUGGGGGAAUCACUGGGGCGGACUGGUUGGCGUCUGUUACUCUGAGAAAUCUAGCCUUGCUACUGGAGACUGAGGGACUAAGUUGGACCUCUUGGAUGUCACCAUGCAUGAAACAGAAGGCUUGUUUGCUCCGGCCACAGAGAAUGCCCACGAGAGUUUGUGGGAAGAGGAACCUAAUAAGCAACUCACUAAACGGGUUACAUGCUUUCCUUCAGCCGCACGUAGACAUCUGUUACGAUGAGUGACAGAUUGUGGCAGGGUGGGCCGUGUGGCGUGCAGUCAGUACAAGGCUGGCUGUUUAGCACCCCUGAGAUUCGAGGACUGGUCCUCGGUAGCAGGAUCCCUGCUGGAUGGGCUCGCGGGGGUGGGGGGAGGGUCUUGGCAUUGGCAGGUGCGACUCAUUUAAUGGGAGGACUAAAAAUGCGGUGGAUGGAAGAAAGGGCAGAGAGAGGUUUAGCUAAUAAGAAAUUCCUGACCACCCACAACCUAAUGAGGACAUGCUUCCCUCUUGCCAGCUGCUGGCAAGCUGCCAAGGGAGGAGGGGCUGAGCACGUGGGCAGAGAGCUGCCACCCCCCAACCCUUAGACAGACUUCUCUGAGAUGCAGGCUGGGGUAGGAAGUCAUGGGCUUUGAACCCAGACAGACCCGAGUGGGGAAUCACUGCCCCGAUUCUCACCAGCCUCAGCAAGUUACGCUUCGGGACUCUGUGCCUCAUUCUGUGAAAGGGGGUGUGGUGCGGAUGCCUCUCAGGGGAAUUGCAUGACUCAGGGGCCCCACAUAUGUGAAAUUCCUAGUACUGGUCCUAGCACGGGUGGGGUGCGGGAUCAUAGAUGGUCAUCGUGGGCGUGUUUGCCGUGGGCUUCCCAGGUGCCUCUGCUGCUCCGCGGGUUCUGGUCCAUGAACUUCCGAUAGGGUAGCCGUAGAUAGGCUUGGCUUUCUCUCAGCAAAUCGAAGACCCCUGUGCGUUCCCAUGUCGGUGUUCUGGAAUCUGGGGUGUCUUACAUUCAACGACAUGUCCUGGUUUGGUGGGCACUUUUCUUUAGUGUCUUAGAGGUGCGUCUCACCGUGGAUGGCAUCUGGGAUUCCCUGAGACCCGUAACCAAAGGAUUCUCUGGGAAGAUUUUCAGAGACUGGUUCCCUGCUGGGCGAGGACCCAGAACCACCUUCCUCACGACCUGCAGGGAACACCCAUUUCUCUGGAGCGUAAAAGAGUUAAGAUUGCAGUUUCAGUGAGGGGCUGGUGACAUUGGGAGGAGGGGGUCAGCGGGGGCUUAUGGUUGAGGUCGGGGUUCAGCGGAUUCCUCGGGAAGAGGCAUGCUGGCAGUGAAUUUCAGGGAGAAGUCCUCCCUUGUUGUCUGCCUGUGUGGGAGUUUAAUUUUAGCACUUGGGGUUGUGAAUUAUUUGUUGAAAGGUACUCCCACCUCUGACGCUCUUGUUUGCACCUGGUGGAGAGAAUAAAGCUUUAGAGCACAAAAUAGAAUUUCCUUCCCCGCUUGUUUCUUUUCUUAGUGUUGUUAGAAAAUCCAGCUCAGUCUCUGGAGUCCUUGAACACUUUCCUCUACUACGUGGCAUGCUUGUCCCCACUACCCAGCACACCGAUCACCCCCGCCACACCACGCCCACGCCCACCACACUUUCCCGGGUGUGCGCCCGUGGGCACACGUGGGCACACAAAUUGGCCUAAUGAGACCUCAGCAAGCACUGGCAUUUGUCCUGACACAUCUCUGACCCUGAAUUUACCACCUGAACUUGCCUCUCGGUGUCCCGUUGGUGACCUUGGCCAGGGUGGGACUCCUGAAUAAGCCCGGAGUUUCUCCGGCUCCCUUUGCAGUGAGGUCCCUACCAUUUCAGUCUCCACCUGGGUGCUGGUGCUUGGGGAUGCUUUCAGGCCUGAAACCCGGGAAGGCUGAAAGCAAACCAGAGUGGGGAUUGGGCUCUGUUCCAGCAGAAGUGCCUCCAGCGUGUGCGUUUCCGGGCUGGCUGGGGGCGGCGGAUCUGGGGAGCGUGAGGCUUUAGGGGGUCAAUCAGAAACAACCAUCCCUGAAUAGAAGGCUUCUGACCGAGUGACACGGAGGAAUCCCUGGUAAUUGGGGCACAGACCUGAUGAAAGCCAUCCUGGGAGGAGGAGAACUAAUUGAGCCUGACCCCUCAGAGGACCUGAAGUUCCCUGUGUAGACGGACUCACUCUGUGACCUUGCCCGUGCGAGGGACCUGAGACGACGCUCAGGCACAUCGGCCAGGCCGGAGCUCAGUGCUCUGCUGAGCGUGCUGGGCAGGAAGUGGCGCAGACACCCCGGCCCAUCCCCGUGUCCCCCGUGACCGUGAUGGAAGGACGGUGUGCGGUCUAGCCCUCGGUGGUGCUUUUAACCUGCCUGUGUUAGGGCUGGGCUCCCCCUUUACGUCGGGAGAUGAGGUCGACCUGGGAGCCCUGGUUCUUCUCUGUGAAGCCAGCAGGUCCUGGCUCUGGCAAAGGUGUUACUGCAGACUCUGUCAGAUGACUGCCCAUCGUGCUAAGAAAAAGUCCCUCGACCUCGUGUCCUUUUUUCAGCCUCGGCAACAGAAUCAUUUCUGCCACUCAUCUUCCGGAACCGUGAGGCCGGGAGAAGAGCCCUCGGUGCUCGCAGCCGGUACCGGGAAGACUUGACUGAGGGUCCUUUCAUGAUCUUGAAAUGAUCAGUUUUGACUGUUCACCAGACCAGACUUGAAGCUGUUCAGAGUACCCGGGCCUUACUAAUCUUCGUAGACACCAGGGUCUAGCCCAUGUCUGGGAUGUAGCUGUUACUCAUUAAAAAAACAUGGAACUUUA
Long non-coding RNA from Mustela erminea (ermine), 5416 nucleotides. RefSeq lists it as uncharacterized. Lineage: Eukaryota; Metazoa; Chordata; Mammalia; Carnivora; Mustelidae. The record is from RefSeq and is a predicted model, not a curated record. The transcript has 2 exons.